RNAcentral lists this transfer RNA (87 nucleotides) under Bacteroidota bacterium. RNAcentral's name for it is "tRNA-Ser". It matches the Rfam family "tRNA". From Rfam's summary of the family: Transfer RNA (tRNA) molecules are approximately 80 nucleotides in length. Their secondary structure includes four short double-helical elements and three loops (D, anti-codon, and T loops). Lineage: Bacteria; Pseudomonadati; Bacteroidota. The record is from RNAcentral. RNAcentral also lists the same sequence under 2 other names.
GGAGAAGUGCCAGAGUGGUCGAAUGGGCCUGACUCGAAAUCAGGUGUGCCCUCACGGGUACCGGGGGUUCGAAUCCCUCCUUCUCCG